RNAcentral lists this non-coding RNA (31 nucleotides) under Rattus norvegicus (Norway rat). The record is from RNAcentral. Lineage: Eukaryota; Metazoa; Chordata; Mammalia; Rodentia; Muridae.
UAACGUUAGAAUUGGUAAGGGAUUUCAUAAU